UUUGGUGUGGCCCAAGUUGUGACCCAUGGUCCAUUGGUAAAAAACGGUCACGUCUUGUCCCAGCACGUGCAUCGAGUGUGCCCGUGCUUGCGUUGGAAUGUACGGUACAGUCGUGGGCAGAAGUAGUGACUGUAACCCGAGAAACGAAUCGACUACCGACCGGCCUACUGGAUGUUGGCGCGAGCGUCACGUCAAACUGUUGUGUAGUCGAUGACACGGAUGUCUUCUUUAUGGCCGCGAUUAGAUUGUGGGACGAGGGCAGGGAACCGUUUAUUUGGACGAGUGGUUAGGAGGACGACUAGUUUUUGGGGAAAUUUGGGAGAAAGCGGCCCUCACAACACCAGUUUUUGCAUUUACUCAAAAUUACUCAUCCUCGUUUAAAAUAAAUACGUAUAUAGUUU
This is a long non-coding RNA of Tribolium castaneum (red flour beetle), 401 nucleotides long. RefSeq lists it as uncharacterized. The record is from RefSeq and is a predicted model, not a curated record. The transcript is spliced from 2 exons. NCBI's taxonomy places the organism in Eukaryota, Metazoa, Arthropoda, Insecta, Coleoptera, Tenebrionidae.